CUCAUCUACUGCCGGACAAUAGGAUUGCCUGACCAAGGCCGAAUUGCUUCCUGCAGAGAUCUUUUCCCUGAAACUGUGGACCCUGCUGUCGAAGCAGCAUUCAAGGUUUGGAGCAAUGAGAACCAACUCAAUUUUACUAGAGUUUUCUGGGACACUGCUGACAUCAUGAUCUUCUUUGAAAGCCAAGACUAACCUGUUUGCUCUGGCUGCACACGAAUUUGGCCUUUGCUCCAGUGACCCCGGGGCCCUGAUGUUUCCCAACUGAUGAUAUGGACCCACCCAAGCAAGAGAAAGAUCCAGGCAUCUAGGCCUUCUGUGGUCUGCUGAGUUUGUGGAAGUCCAGAUCUGAAGGAAUCAGGAUGACCAAGUUGGCUUCCAUUUAUUUCUCAUCCAAACUUUUAACCUUAUCUCAAGAGUGUUAGCUCAUGAGGACCAGGAUUUUGAUGUGUUUUGCUCACUGUUGUAUCAGUGAGAGAAAGCACACUGUUCUAUGACAGGGAGCUAAUAAAUGGCAGAGC
This is a long non-coding RNA of Molossus molossus (Pallas's mastiff bat), 518 nucleotides long. RefSeq lists it as uncharacterized. The record is from RefSeq and is a predicted model, not a curated record. The transcript has 5 exons. NCBI's taxonomy places the organism in Eukaryota, Metazoa, Chordata, Mammalia, Chiroptera, Molossidae.